CGAACACUAAUACUUGCCUGUUGGCUUUUCUCACUGGACCAUAACCUGCUCCUUGAGUUGUUCUGUGCAGCAUGUUAAUGUUUUUCUGAGGAGGGACAGGAAUGUGACCACCACUUCUUUACAACUUGCAGGGAAGUCCUAUCCUGGACAGAAAGUGAUCUCUUUCUCUCCUCAGCAGCUGGAGGACUUUGUACACUAUCUGAGAAGAGGCACUGCUCACACUGAAAAAUACUUGUGGAAACUCAGGAAGAGCCACCUUCUCACCAGAUUUGGAUGACUAUGCAAACACAGGUGUGCAUCUUAUUUGGAAGCAUAUUCCUCCUGUGCUUCUAAACACUGGUAUCUAACUAUUGAUUUCCAAACACUUGUACCCCUCAAAACUGAUCUCUUUUUGAAAGAGAACAAACACCUCUAACACCUAUUUGCCAACGGGACUUGAUUUCCAAUAGUUAAACUGUCCUUUUCCCAGCUGUCUUCCAAUUCCAUGGAGCAAAUCUUUGUUAAAGAUCAUUCUUGUAAAAGAUAUUCACGUUUUUUAAAAGGUUCUCAAUACAUCUGUGAGAAGUGUAUGAGCAGUUUGACUAUAUUAUUGCUCUCAAAUUCUGUGUUCCUAUCAUGUCACAGAGGCAUUUGACAUAUACUGGUUUGAUGGGCUUCCAUGUUUCUAUACUCUUCCUUUAGCUACCAUCUGAGCACCCCUAUUAAGCAACAGUGCAUUCAGGUGUAUCCUAAUGGCUGGAAGCUUAAAUCUUGCACUUACCUUACUCUAUACAUUUUCUAUUUCAAGCCAUAGGUGACCAUUAAAAAUUAUUUUGAAGUGAGCUUACUUUAGCUCCCUGGGGUUGUUUGUUUUUUUUUUUCUUUUUUACCAUUUUUUUCCUUCCUCCCUCUGCUCACCCUGCAAAUAAAACCCAGGAGUUUAAUGGUGGAAAAACAAGCAUAGAGGGUGUAUAUUCUGUGCAUUAGACAGUACCAUUGUAAUCCAUCCCAAGAAAGAGCUACCUAUGCUGCAUUUCUACCCCACUCUGCUCACUUUCCUCUGCCAGAGUUGUGCUUCUUGCUGUGUCCUGGCUUGGGCCAAAGUUGUAGCCUUUCCAUUCACCUUUUUGCAACUUCUAUUCUUGAGUAAAUAACUUUCACAGUUUCAUGGAUGACUCUAUAUCAACCCUGAAUACUCGCUGUCAUGAAGGGAAGACACCAGAUCAGGGAGAAGGGUUAAUAAGUUAAGUUAAUAGUAAGUUAAUACUAAAAGUGAAAAUGUGCUUGUUUCUUG
This is a long non-coding RNA of Pezoporus flaviventris, 1273 nucleotides long. RefSeq lists it as uncharacterized. NCBI's taxonomy places the organism in Eukaryota, Metazoa, Chordata, Aves, Psittaciformes, Psittacidae. The transcript is spliced from 2 exons. The record is from RefSeq and is a predicted model, not a curated record.